UACAGAGGGUGCAAGCGUUAAUCGGAAUUACUGGGCGUAAAGCGCACGUAGGCGGUUUUUUAAGCCAGAUGUGAAAGCCCCGGGCUCAACCUGGGAAUUGCAUUUGAAACUGGGGAACUAGAGUGUGUGAGAGGGGGGUAGAAUUCCAAGUGUAGCGGUGAAAUGCGUAGAGAUUUGGAGGAAUACCAGUGGCGAAGGCGGCCCCCUGGCACAACACUGACGCUCAGGUGCGAAAGCGUGGGGAGCAAACAGG
This 253-nucleotide ribosomal RNA is filed under the name uncultured bacterium. RNAcentral's name for it is "partial 16S ribosomal RNA". It matches the Rfam family "Bacterial small subunit ribosomal RNA", at positions 524 to 776 of the family's 1533-position model. The record is from RNAcentral.